CUGGUGCCAGCAGCCGCGGUAAUUCCAGCUCCAAUAGCGUAUAUUAAAGUUGUUGCAGUUAAAAAGCUCGUAGUUGAAUUUCGGGGUUAGUAGAUUGGUCGUGCCACUGGUACGUACUGGUCUUACUGAUUCCUCCCUCCUGAUGAACUGUAAUGCCAUUAAUUUGGUGUUGCAGGGAAUCUGGACUGUUACUUUGAAAAAAUUAGAGUGUUUAAAGCAGGCUAACGCUUGAAUACAUUAGCAUGGAAUAAUGAAAUAGGACGCUCGAUCCUAUUUUGUUGGUUUCUAGGAUUGACGUAAUGAUUAAUAGGGAUAGUUGGGGGCAUUAGUAUUCAAUUGUCAGAGGUGAAAUUCUUGGAUUUAUUGAAGACUAACUACUGCGAAAGCAUUUGCCAAGGAUGUUUUCAUUAAUCAAGAACGAAAGUUAGGGGAUCGAAGACGAUCAGAUACCGUCGUAGUCCUAACCAUAAACUAUGCCGACUAGGGAUCGGAUGAUGUUAAUUUUUUAAUGACUCAUUCGGCACCUUACGGGAAAC
RNAcentral lists this ribosomal RNA (536 nucleotides) under uncultured Glomus. Its description in RNAcentral is "SSU rRNA". It matches the Rfam family "Eukaryotic small subunit ribosomal RNA", at positions 561 to 1098 of the family's 1831-position model. Lineage: Eukaryota; Fungi; Glomeromycota; Glomeromycetes; Glomerales; Glomeraceae. The record is from RNAcentral.